GGCCCGUUGGUCAAGCGGUUAAGACACCGCCCUUUCACGGCGGUAACACGGGUUCGAAUCCCGUACGGGUCACCA
RNAcentral lists this transfer RNA (75 nucleotides) under Campylobacter jejuni. RNAcentral's name for it is "tRNA-Glu". It matches the Rfam family "tRNA". Rfam says of the family: Transfer RNA (tRNA) molecules are approximately 80 nucleotides in length. Their secondary structure includes four short double-helical elements and three loops (D, anti-codon, and T loops). Further hydrogen bonds mediate the characteristic L-shaped molecular structure. tRNAs have two regions of fundamental functional importance: the anti-codon, which is responsible for specific mRNA codon recognition, and the 3' end, to which the tRNAs corresponding amino acid is attached (by aminoacyl-tRNA synthetases). tRNAs cope with the degeneracy of the genetic code in two manners: having more than one tRNA (with a specific anti-codon) for a particular amino acid; and 'wobble' base-pairing, i.e. permitting non-standard base-pairing at the 3rd anti-codon position. Lineage: Bacteria; Pseudomonadati; Campylobacterota; Epsilonproteobacteria; Campylobacterales; Campylobacteraceae. The record is from RNAcentral. RNAcentral also lists the same sequence under 1359 other names.